This is an RNA transcript of Setaria italica (foxtail millet), 3861 nucleotides long. It is a transcript of the gene named vacuolar protein sorting-associated protein 54, chloroplastic, with no coding region annotated. NCBI's taxonomy places the organism in Eukaryota, Viridiplantae, Streptophyta, Magnoliopsida, Poales, Poaceae. The record is from RefSeq and is a predicted model, not a curated record. The transcript is spliced from 19 exons.
CCUCUGUUCUCCCCUUCCUCGAGGCGCCAGAUCUGACAUCCCACCCAAGCUCGCCUUCGCUGCCGCGCUUCCUAGAUCCCGAUCUCCCCAUGACUCCUCCCAUCCGCUGACGCCACCACCGCAACCGCCACCGCCGCCGCCGCGAUGGCGUCGCGCCCGCCCCUCCGCACCACCUCCGUCGCCUCCGUCUCCUCCUCCACCGACUCCCCCACCUUCGCCGGGCCUCCCGGCGGCGUCCCGCAGUCCAUCACCGCGCUCCUCAACAACCCGCUUCCCUCCGCCGCCGCCUCAUCCUACUCCUGGCUACCCUGGCCGCCCCCAACCAUCGCUCUCCCCGAGGCGGCUCCCACGCCACCGUCGCACCCCAGCGAGGUCACCCGCGCCGACUUCGCGCCCUACCUCGCCGCCGUCUCCGACCCCUAUGCUCGCUUCGCUGACAUUCGCCUCCACGCCACCGCCGAGCUCGCCGCCUCCUCGGACGCUGAGGGUGCCCCUGCUGCCUCCUCCGGCCUUGCCGCCUGCCUCCGCGAGGUGCCCGCGCUCUUCUUCAAGGAGGACUUCGCGCUCGAGGACGGACCCACGUUCCAGGCCGCCUGCCCGCUCGACGACGACGGGCUGCAGGAGCGCCUCGGCCAGCACCUCGAUGUCGUCGAGGCGCACCUCGUGCGGGAGAUCGCGCUCCGGUCCGAGUCCUUCUACGAGGCGCAGGGCCGGUUGCGGGGGCUCGACGGGGAGAUUGUUACUGCAGUAGGGAGGAUCCGCGAGCUCAGGGAAGUGGUGCGGGUGCUCACGGGGGACCUCGUCGGGUCAGCAAGGCAGGUGCAGGAGCUCAAUGCCACGCGGGGCAACCUUGUGGCACUGCAGCAGAAGCUUACUGUCAUCCUCUACGUCAGCCAGGCACUUGCUGCACUCAAGUUGCUUGUUGCAGCAGCAGAUUGUGCUGGUGCCCUUGAUGUCAUCGAUGACUUGCAAAAUUUACUAGAUACUGAUGAACUUGCUGGGCUUUACUGCUUUCGCCAUAUUCGGGAUCAGCUGGGAACAUCACUAGAUUCAGUGAACAGCAUUCUUUCAGCAGAAUUCGUGCACGCUGCUGUUCCUGAUGGAAAAGCUGUAGAUGCUAUGAUUUCAUCAAAUGUAAAAAGAAAGGCUUCCAGCCCAUUGAAUGGGACAGAACAUGAGGGUAACAUAGAUGAGGAGGAAAGUUUUAUUCUCAGAGAUCGACUCCUCCCCCUCAUUAUUUGCCUGCUGAGAACGGACAAACUUCCUGCAGUUCUCAGAAUCUACCGAGAUACACUUAUUACUGUGAUGAAAGCUUCAAUCAAAGCCACAGUUGCAGAGUUGCUUCCAGUUUUAACUGCCAGACCAAUAGAUUCUGAUUCAGUAACUGGAGACAGGGCUGCUGAUGCUGACGCUGGAGGCCAGUCCUUAGCAAAUAAGUUGCGAAGUCUAUCAUCUGAAGGGUUUGUUCAACUUUUGUCUGCCAUUUUCAGGAUAGUACAGGUACAUUUACAGCAAGCAGCUGAGGUGAAAAGAAUUGUUGAGUGGAUCAUGGGAAACCUUGAUGGAACCUUAAGUAUUGAUGCUAGCAAUCCUACAGUACAACAUGGUGGUUCAGUUGUUUCUGAUAUUUCCCAAGAGAAUGACUACAGUGUUUCUUCACGGGUCUCUAAUACUCUCACACGGAGUACUUCCAAAAUCCCAUUUGUCCAAGCAAAAGCAAAUGAUUUGUCCAUCAUAAAUUCAAUAAAGAAUGUCCGGGCUGAUGUAUUAAGAGAAAACACUGAAGCAGUUUUCGCUGCAUGUGAUGCUGCCCAUGGGCGAUGGGCUAAGCUCCUAGGUGUCCGUGCUGCUCUACAUCCCAGGUUAAGGCUUCAGGAAUUCUUGAUCAUCUACAAUAUAACAGAAGAAUUUAUAGCUGCUACUGAAAAGGUUGGAGGCAGGUUGGGUUACAACAUUCGUGGAAUCCUACAGCAACAGUCGAAGCAGUUUGUUGAUUAUCAGCAUAGCGUUCGGAUGACAAAAAUCAAGGCAGUUCUUGACCAAGAGACGUGGGUUGCUGUUGAUGUUCCUGAAGAGUUCCAAGCAAUUGUUCUAUCACUUUCAUCCACUUAUUCUUCUGUUAAUGGCAUGGAUAUGCCUGGUGCAGAAGAUAACUCAAAGUUCAGUGAUCCUACGAGUCAAGAACCAACAUAUUCAGGUGAAAAUAAUGCUGAUAAUGGCAAAUUAACAUCUGCGAUAGGUGAAAGCAAGGUUGAGUCCACUUCUCCUCAGACUGAAAAUAAUGCCACUGGGAAUCAGAGGUCAACCUUGCAAACUAUUGUACAUGGAGGUGUUGGCUAUCAUAUGGUAAACUGUGGCUUGAUAUUGCUGAAGAUGUUAUCAGAAUAUGUUGACAUCAGUAAAUGUUUGCCAUCAUUAUCUUUUGAGGUGGUCCAACGUGUUGUGGAAAUAUUAAAGCUUUUCAACAACAGGACUUGCCAACUUGUCCUCGGUGCAGGCGCCAUGCAGGUGUCUGGCCUUAAAUCAAUUACGUCUAAGCAUUUAGCUUUGGCAAGUCAAAUAAUUAGUUUUAUACAUUCUCUAAUUCCAGAUAUCAGGCGAGUACUUUUCCUGAAAAUACCUGAGGCACGCAAACAGCUGUUAAUGUCCGAAUUGGAUAGAGUCACUCAGGACUACAAGGUUCAUCGAGAUGAAAUUCACAGCAAGCUUGUCCAGAUAAUGAGGGAGAGAUUGCUUGCAAAUCUUAGAAAACUACCCCAAAUUGUCGAAGGCUGGAAUGGCCCAGAGGAUAAUGAUUUGCAGCCUAGUCAAUUUGCUAAAGCUGUUACAAAGGAAGUAAACUAUUUGCAUCGCAUCCUUUCUCAAACAUUGCUUGAAGUCGAUGUGCAAACAAUAUUCAGGCAAGUAGUUCAAAUAUUCCAUUCUCACAUUACAGAAGCGUUUAGAAAAUUGGAGGUCAGCACUCCUCAGGCGAAGAACAGAUUAUGCCGAGAUGUUCAGCAUAUUCUUACAUGUAUCCGGAAGUUACCAGCUGAGAACUUCAGUGCAGAAACUACUCCAAAUUAUGGUCUUCUUGAUGAAUUCUUGGCUGAGAACUUUGGGACAAAAGUUGGUGAGUGAUUGACUGUACAUUAGGAACUGACUUAUGUCUUCACAAAUGUUCAAUGUUGGAAAAUAUGUUAAAUGGGAAGUGCUCCAAGACAUUGCCAUGUUUGGCCUAAAUUCCGUGCAGGUAUUGCUGUGCAGGAUAGUGAAGGAAGAGCUCCCAGAUGACAUAAUUGCUGAUUUUCUCGACCUUCCCAAAGAUUAAAUUUUUGGGUCCAUAGCUUUACCAUGUCAGGCCAUAUUUGUUUUUUUUUUCCAAUAGUAUUUUGAUUCCCGUUUGGGAAGCUGAUAUCUGUUAGAUGCUGGUAUAGAGGAAACCUGAGAGUUUUGGCACCACGGCCUAGCUUCAUGCAGUUAGGUCCAUUGUAUUGAAUAGGCCUCGAGAUGGCAGCCCAUGUAUUUUAUCCCUGCAAGGUUUGUAAUUAUUAUUCUUGGUGCAAAAAAUAAUCAGUUGCUAUAAGUUAGUCUAGGCAAUGCGUCAAGUUUCAUUGCUAUAUGCAGGAAAUCUGCGCUUUAUAGGCUUCUUUCAGCUCUAUCUGCUUGAACGGGGAAGAAGAAAAUCAGAGGUUACUGUGUUUAUCAGAUCGGGCGACUGAUAAUCGUAUCCUAACUCCCGUUUAACUCCAAUUUGAGUCUGCACUUUGUUGUGGGGGUCUAUAUUCAACUAUAUCAAUAUUUGUCUGAAUGCUCACGGUUCUACAUGGGCACCCUGAAAGACAACGUAAAUUUGGAAUACAUAUGUGCAACUGUUUUGUA